Ipomoea triloba (trilobed morning glory) is the source of this 429-nucleotide long non-coding RNA. RefSeq lists it as uncharacterized. The record is from RefSeq and is a predicted model, not a curated record. The transcript is spliced from 3 exons. NCBI's taxonomy places the organism in Eukaryota, Viridiplantae, Streptophyta, Magnoliopsida, Solanales, Convolvulaceae.
AUAAAAGCUUUGUUCCCAUUUAUUUUUCCCCAUUUCCCUUCAAAAUUGCCGAAAAGAGAGAAAGGGUGAGAAAGUGUGUGAUUCUUCAUCUUCCUCCACCAUUAAAACCUUGCUUCCAUAGCCAAAUUUCUUCACAACUCUCAAGAUUAUUCGGAUUUAAGGUGAAUUUGGGGAAAAGAUCCAAGAGUUGUUCCUACGGUGUUAGUAAACCUUCUUGAGUGAUGCGUGGCGCAUUCAACGGGGGUGUCAAACCCGUCGACGGGUUCAAUAGCCCAUCAGCGGGAUGUAUUACGUGCUAGCGUGGUGCAUUUUUAGUGUUAUGUGGUGCAUUUUGAGUGAUACGUAGUGUAUUAAGCUGUUGGCCGCCGUUAGAUGACAAUAAUCGAACGACAGAUAUUAGACUACACGACCGCACGCCAGACAUUGACC